RNAcentral lists this ribosomal RNA (420 nucleotides) under uncultured Microcoleus sp. RNAcentral's name for it is "bacterial SSU rRNA". It matches the Rfam family "Bacterial small subunit ribosomal RNA", at positions 356 to 789 of the family's 1533-position model. The record is from RNAcentral. Lineage: Bacteria; Bacillati; Cyanobacteriota; Cyanophyceae; Oscillatoriales; Microcoleaceae.
GGGGAAUCUUCCGCAAUGGGCGAAAGCCUGACGGAGCAAUACCGCGUGAGGGAAGAAGGCUCUUGGGUCGUAAACCUCUUUUAUCAGGGAAGAACAAAAUGACGGUACCUGAAGAAUCAGCCUCGGCUAACUCCGUGCCAGCAGCCGCGGUAAUACGGAGGAGGCAAGCGUUAUCCGGAAUUAUUGGGCGUAAAGCGUCCGCAGGUGGCUCGUCAAGUCUGCUGUCAAAGACCGGGGCUUAACCCUGGAAAGGCAGUGGAAACUGAUAUAGCUAGAGUGCCGUAGGGGUAGAGGGAAUUCCCGGUGUAGCGGUGAAAUGCGUAGAGAUCGGGAAGAACAUCGGUGGCGAAAGCGCUCUACUGGACGGCAACUGACACUCAGGGACGAAAGCUAGGGGAGCGAAUGGGAUUAGAUACCCCA